RNAcentral lists this long non-coding RNA (442 nucleotides) under Portunus trituberculatus (swimming crab). Its description in RNAcentral is "uncharacterized LOC123502440, transcript variant X1". The record is from RNAcentral. Lineage: Eukaryota; Metazoa; Arthropoda; Malacostraca; Decapoda; Portunidae.
CCUUGGGGUUCUUUGCCUAGCUGUUGGGUGUACAGAUGUUUGUCGGGUUCUUGAAGAUGCGUUGACGUGUUAUCAUCCACGCAAGCUUCCCCAACCCAGCCAGUGUACCACAAGACAACAAGCAUUCAGGAGGACGGGAGGAGGGAGCGAGCGGCUGCACGCAUUAUUGAACGGGACGGCAUUACAUUCUCCCCACAGCUGUAUGACUACACUGAAGCAAGCCCAGAAUAAAGUGUUGAGUGACCAUGAUACGUUGAUGAGUGCGUGGAGUCACCCAGAUCCUCUCUCUGUGGACCAUCCCCUCAGCACUGUUCGAUCCGCCCAGCAGCAGCAACGGUCAGGAGAAGGCGGUCAUUGAAGUGUCAAGUCUCCAAGCUGGUAUGGUGGAUUCAGUACUACUAACGCCAAAGAAGUGAGGCAAGUUUUUGGAGUGAGCGUGCAU